AUUGAACGCUGGCGGCAUGCUUUACACAUGCAAGUCGAGCGGCAGCGCGGGGGCAACCCUGGCGGCGAGCGGCGAACGGGUGAGGAAUACAUCGGAACGUGCCCGAGAGUGGGGGAUAACGCCGCGAAAGCGGCGCUAAUACCGCAUAUUCUCUGAGGAGGAAAGUGGGGGACCGCAAGGCCUCACGCUCACGGAGCGGCCGAUGUCGGAUUAGCUAGUUGGUGGGGUAAAGGCUUACCAAGGCGACGAUCCGUAGCUGGUCUGAGAGGAUGAUCAGCCACACUGGGACUGAGACACGGCCCAGACUCCUACGGGAGGCAGCAGUGGGGAAUUUUGGACAAUGGGGGCAACCCUGAUCCAGCCAUGCCGCGUGCGGGAAGAAGGCCU
RNAcentral lists this ribosomal RNA (387 nucleotides) under uncultured bacterium. Its description in RNAcentral is "bacterial SSU rRNA". It matches the Rfam family "Bacterial small subunit ribosomal RNA", at positions 29 to 417 of the family's 1533-position model. The record is from RNAcentral.